CGGGUAGAUCUCCCACCCUUUGUAUACCAUACCUUUGUUGCUUUGGCGGGCCGCCUAGCCACUGGCUUCGGCUGGUAAGUGCCCGCCAGAGGACCCAAAACCCUGAAUAUUAGUGUCGUCUGAGUAAAAUUUUAACAUUUAAAACUUUCAACAACGGAUCUCUUGGCUCUGGCAUCGAUGAAGAACGCAGCGAAAUGCGAUAAGUAAUGUGAAUUGCAGAAUUCAGUGAAUCAUCGAAUCUUUGAACGCACAUUGCGCCCCUUGGUAUUCCGAGGGGCAUGCCUAUUCGAGCGUCAUUAUCACCCCUCAAGCCUAGCUUGGUGUUGGAGCCUGCCUCUGGGCAGCUCUUAAAAUCAGUGGCGGUGCCGUCUGACUCUAAGCGUAGUAAUUUUUCUCGCUACAGAGUCCCGGCGGUUGCUUGCCAACAACCCCAAAUUUUCUAUGGUUGACCUCGGAUCAGGUAGGGAUACCCGCUGAACUUAAGCAUAUCAAUAAGCGGAGGAA
This 504-nucleotide ribosomal RNA is filed under the name uncultured fungus. RNAcentral's name for it is "eukaryotic LSU rRNA". The stretch from base 143 to 296 matches the Rfam family "5.8S ribosomal RNA". Lineage: Eukaryota; Fungi. The record is from RNAcentral.